RNAcentral lists this unclassified non-coding RNA (391 nucleotides) under soil metagenome. RNAcentral describes it as "partial contains 5.8S ribosomal RNA, internal transcribed spacer 2, and large subunit ribosomal RNA". The stretch from base 1 to 122 matches the Rfam family "5.8S ribosomal RNA", at positions 35 to 154 of the family's 154-position model. The record is from RNAcentral.
GAUGAAGAACGUAGCGAAAUGCGAUACUUGGUGUGAAUUGCAGAAUCCCGUGAACCAUCGAGUCUUUGAACGCAAGUUGCGCCCGAAGCCAUUAGGCCGAGGGCACGCCUGCCUGGGCGUCACACGUCGUUGCCCCCCCAUCUACUCCUUCGGGAUUGCGGGGGGCUGAUGAUGGCCUCCCGUGCGCCUCGCCGCGCGGUUGGCAUAAAUGCCAAGUCCUCGGCGACGCACGCCACGACAAUCGGUGGUUGCGAAACCUCGGUUGCCCGUCGUGUGCGGUCGUCGCGCAUCGAGGGCUCGAAAAAAUUGCCGGGUUCCGGCUCGGCUUUCAACGCGACCCCAGGUCAGGCGGGGUUACCCGCUGAAUUUAAGCAUAUCAAUAAGCGGAGGA